This 301-nucleotide ribosomal RNA is filed under the name uncultured bacterium. Its description in RNAcentral is "partial 16S ribosomal RNA". It matches the Rfam family "Bacterial small subunit ribosomal RNA", at positions 509 to 809 of the family's 1533-position model. The record is from RNAcentral.
CAGUCGCCGCGGUAAUACAGAGGGUGCGAGCGUUAAUCGGAUUUACUGGGCGUAAAGCGUGCGUAGGCGGCUUUUUAAGUCGGAUGUGAAAUCCCUGAGCUUAACUUAGGAAUUGCAUUCGAUACUGGGAAGCUAGAGUAUGGGAGAGGAUGGUAGAAUUCCAGGUGUAGCGGUAAAAUGCGUAGAGAUCUGGAGGAAUACCGAUGGCGAAGGCAGCCAUCUGGCCUAAUACUGACGCUGAGGUACGAAAGCAUGGGGAGCAAACAGGAUUAGAUACCCGAGUAGUCCCUGUCUCUUAUAU